AACAUACCCGUACAUUGCAAUGGAAGCAAAAUUGUACUCAAUAACCUAAAAUUUUCAGUAUAACAUCUGGUCUCACCCUGAUUUUGAUUGUAUACCAUUAGAAAUAUGAUGGGUUUCACCCCAACGGUAGUGCCCUUUUCCAUUAUUCAACAAUUAUUUCAAAAGAAAAGAAGAAAACACCACUAACUUCUCAAUGUGCAUCAUGACUCAGUAAAGCUUCCAGUGCAUGGACAUACUUCCUCCUCCCUUUCAUUUCCAUUGCAAUGUCACUUAUUUUACAAACCCACUUUGUGUGCCACUGCGCAGUUUCUUCUAUCCAACUUUGACACUGCACGCUAUUUCUUCUAUUCAACUUUGACAACGUCACAGCUAGCAACAAUGUGAAAGUAAUGUUUUUGUUGCCAUGGCUACAACAGUUUGACUAAAAAGAAAAAGAAAAUAGCUACAUUCAAGAACGGAGGGACAACUUCGUCAAACUUGCAAACCUUGUGUUACUUCUCUUACUUUUAGCAAGUUAAUAUUACUUGUCUGAGGUGUAGAUGAUAUCUGAAAAGCUCCCGGAGAAAGAUGAAAAAAAUGUUAACUAUAAUGAGUUAAAUAUAUAUAUAUAUAAUACAAAACCUAUGCAAGGAUCCACUUUUAUAUACAUCAACUUACGGAGGAUAUAUUUGUUUAUUCAGAUAAACUUGUAAAGUCACAUAUUUACAAGCCGCAUCUCGUUCUCCACCAAAAGAAAAGAAAAUAACCAAGAAAAUACAAAAUCUUAAAUCCCAAGAACUCAGUCAUGAAAUCAUUGGAAGCAAUGUGAUUCACAAGAGAGAUUUUGGGUUCACCUUGCUGGAAUUCAUGCAUUAGCGAUUGUUAGAGAAUCAAGGGCGAUUAUACCUCGAGACAAUGUAUUUUGUAGUUGCCAAGCUUGAUGACAAUUCAGGGAGUUCAAUUCCAAAUAGGUUAACGAGCCUAUGGAUACUGUGGAAAUCCUCCCCCUGCAAUGGUUUGAGUGUUCAGGUUCACAUAUUUAUGGACUACUUGUGAGUAAAAUAAAUUUUGAAGCUGAUAUAGUGUCAUCACAACCUGAAUAACAACAUCUGGAUGUGAAAUUUCACUUAAAACUUGCUGCAUUUAUGAAUAGUUUUGGAAGCAAAAUAAUCUUUGGUGCUACAGGAGAGCCUACAGGAU
Molecule: long non-coding RNA, 1179 nt
Filed under: Triticum aestivum (bread wheat)
Lineage: Eukaryota; Viridiplantae; Streptophyta; Magnoliopsida; Poales; Poaceae
Description: long non-coding RNA (TAES_LNC006378)
Source: RNAcentral